Astatotilapia calliptera (eastern happy) is the source of this 2145-nucleotide long non-coding RNA. Lineage: Eukaryota; Metazoa; Chordata; Actinopteri; Cichliformes; Cichlidae. The record is from Ensembl.
GCGGAAGCUGCAGACGGCGAGAAUUGCAGCGGCAAACCCUAAACACACACUGGGUUGAAAAGAGCUUCUCUUAUUCAGCGUUACGUGUCCUCUUGAACACAGACAUGUAUCGCCCGGGUGAACCUGUUCGCCAGGUGCCUCCACCGCUGCCGUUCGGACCUCCACCGCCUCACGGCCCUCCUUUUAGACCCACAGGGCCCUGCUCUGUUCCUCCUCCUGGACACUUACCCCCCAGGCCCUGUGGACCAUAUCCGGUCGCGGCACGAGAUUAUCUCCACAACAGACCGCCGAGUGGGCAUUUCGUUCGUCUACAAAGGAGAAACGAACAAAAAGUGACUGCGCAUCUCAAGCAUCUGAUAAACAUAAGGAGGGUGACAGUGAGGAAAGGAAGAGAGAGAAACAAGAGAAAGUAAAUAAAAUGGAGUCUUUGGCCAAAGAACUGGAUGAACUGUUAAAACAAGAUGGACUGGGUUUUAUAACUCCAGUUACUGGCUUUUACUGCCAGAACUGUGAGGAGUUCAUUGGAGAUUUGAAGUCUGCUGAAAACCAUGCAGCUAUCCGCCAUCAUAGUAACUCUAUUGCAAAAGAACAGACGGACAGGCACUCUAAAGACAUCAAAGGACACCCACAUCAUUACAGUCCCUCCAGUAAUCGACACCCUGACCCCCCAGACAGGAGAGAUCACAGGGGUUAUGGUUACCGCGGGGAUUCAGGAAACCACCGGAAUAGCACAGACCAUCUACGGAAUUGGAAGGAUGGCAAAGAUUUCAGAAGCCGAUACCAUGAUGAUGACCACAAAAGUCACAAGGAUAGAGAUAAAAACAUCUUCUUGAAAGAGGAAAUGAAAAAGGAGCGAAUGUUUAUAACAGUCUCCGAUGGACUGACACCUUCAACUUCUAACAUCAGGGUCAAGGAGGAGGUGGACAAGGAGAAGGCCACUGGAAGCCAUGGUAAAGUUAAAGCGAAAGACCUAGAAUCAUCCAAGGAAAAGAAAGGCAGCAUUGAAAAUGAUCAAUACAGUGAUAGCACUGAUGAUGACGGAAAAUCACCUAAAACAAAAAAGAAUAAAAAGAAAAAGAAGAAGAAGGAGAAGGAGAAGGAGAAAAAGAAUAAGAAUAAGAAACAGAAGGAGAAGUCUUAGGUGUUAUUUUGUCCUUGUCAUAUAACUCUGGGAUGAUGGUAGCAGCUUAUUUCUGGACUGAUUUUCUAACAUAGUUUUCUCACUUUCUUUUCCUCCACCCAAUUGUUUUUUGUUACUGUCAUUAGAAGAGGAAGGUAGACCUCAGAGUGAUUCAUCAUGUAUGAAGGAAUAGACUGAUAUGUUAGGAAGCACGUUUGUUGGUGGUCUUUCUCUAAAAGAAGAUUAGUAUUACUUUUGUCUUUGUGUAUCUAGUACAGUGGUCUUUACCUCACUUAGAACUAAGAUUGAUUUUUCUCAGUUAAUUCAGGUAUUUUUCCCCCACUUCAGACAGCGUGUUUGCUCGGUCAAAUUAAUUCUCAUGUGGAAUGAAAUGUUCUCAUGUGUUCCUCAGUAAACAGGCAAACAAAAACCUUUUCCAAGACGUCUGUUCCUUUUACACAUUCUGCACAGUUUUCAGCACUGUAUUAAAGUCUGCCACGUUUCAGGUAUGGCAUCACAUCUUGGUUCUAUUUUUUAAUUAAAUGUUCAAUAAAAUAAGCAGUAAGAAAAUAAGCAGUAAGAAAUUUUUUUCAUUUCAUUGGACCAACAGCAUUGUAGUUUUAGAAAAGGUAUACAUGUAUCUGACAUCUUGUAUUCAUUUUGAUCUCAAAUAAAGACGUAAAAUAAACAAAUGUGUACUAUUCCUUAGUUUUUGGGGUUUUCUUUCUUGAUUUUAUGUUUGAUAUUAUGUUUGAGUGGCUCCCAUCAGGAAGUACAUGUAGACUAUGCUUCCAGGAUGUAGGACACAAAAAAAAGGGUCACUAAUGUCCCUACAGCAUUUCAACAUCUGAACUGUAAGCCUUUCCCACCCCAGUAUUGCAUCCUUUUCUUGCUUCCUUCCCCACACAUUCAGUUCCUUGGUAAUUGAACUGAUCAUUGAAUCUGAACUAUGAUUGGUCAUUUUAUACUGAUGCUUUUAUGUUCUAUGUCUUAUGUGGUGGUCUCUGUGCCUUUUUAAUUGCCCC